UUAACAUUAUUAAGCUGUUGUAUAAAAGAGUUUUGUAUUAUCAUCGCACAGCAGUCACUCAUCACAUUUUGAUUAAACAAUAUACGAAAACAUAGUCAGUGAACAAAAUCUUUUAAGUACAAAAUGGUCUGUCAGCAGUGUAUUAACGCUUCGAAAUGUAACAUUUGCAAAACCUGCGUCAAAUGUUGCCAGAUCUACACGCCGAGUGGCAACCGUUGCUGUACUGUUGGCAUCAGGAAGACAUGUUGCGCUAGCAAAAAGUGAAUGAUAUCCUUUCAAAUUGAGCUCAAUUAAGUUAUAUGCCAAAUUUCGGAAUAUUUAUGUUAAGAGUUAGCUCAAGCUUAAAAAUAAACGUAUUGUAUAUUGUAUUUAUUUAUUAAAAACAUGUGUUUUCUAUGAUAUCAUAAAGAUUA
This is a long non-coding RNA of Bactrocera oleae (olive fruit fly), 413 nucleotides long. RefSeq lists it as uncharacterized. NCBI's taxonomy places the organism in Eukaryota, Metazoa, Arthropoda, Insecta, Diptera, Tephritidae. The record is from RefSeq and is a predicted model, not a curated record.